This 65-nucleotide transfer RNA is filed under the name Bactrocera limbifera. Its description in RNAcentral is "tRNA-Asn". The record is from RNAcentral. Lineage: Eukaryota; Metazoa; Arthropoda; Insecta; Diptera; Tephritidae.
UUAAUUGAAGCCAAAAAGAGGCUUAUCACUGUUAAUGGUAGAACUGAGAAUAAUCUCCAAUUAAG